GACGAACGCUGGCGGCGUGCCUAAUACAUGCAAGUAGAACGCUGAAGAGAGGAGCUUACUCUUCUUGGAUGAGUUGCGAACGGGUGAGUAACGCGUAGGUAACCUGCCUUGUAGCGGGGGAUAACUAUUGGAAACGAUAGCUAAUACCGCAUAACAAUGGAUGACACAUGUCAUUUAUUUGAAAGGGGCAAUUGCUCCACUACAAGAUGGACCUGCGUUGUAUUAGCUAGUAGGUGAGGUAAUGGCUCACCUAGGCGACGAUACAUAGCCGACCUGAGAGGGUGAUCGGCCACACUGGGACUGAGACACGGCCCAGACUCCUACGGGAGGGAGCAGUAGGGAAUCUUCGGCAAUGGGGGCAACCCUGACCGAGCAACGCCGCGUGAGUGAAGAAGGUUUUCGGAUCGUAAAGCUCUGUUGUAAGUCAAGAACGGGUGUGAGAGUGGAAAGUUCACACUGUGACGGUAGCUUACCAGAAAGGGACGGCUAACUACGUG
This 497-nucleotide ribosomal RNA is filed under the name uncultured bacterium. RNAcentral's name for it is "partial 16S ribosomal RNA". It matches the Rfam family "Bacterial small subunit ribosomal RNA", at positions 28 to 507 of the family's 1533-position model. The record is from RNAcentral.